GAUGAACGCUAGCGGCAGGCCUAAUACAUGCAAGUCGAACGGUGUCUUCGGACAUAGUGGCGCACGGGUGCGUAACACGUAUGCAACCUACCUUACAUUGGGGGAUAGCCUUUCGAAAGGGAGAUUAAUACCGCAUAAGACAGUAGCUGGGCAUCCAGCAGCUGUAAAAGAUUUAUCGAUGUAAGCUGGCCAUGCGUCCAAUUAGCUAGUUGGUGAGGUAACGGCUCACCAAGGCAAUGAUUGGUAGGGGAACUGAGAGGUCAAUCCCCCACACUGGCACUGAGAUACGGGCCAGACUCCUACGGGAGGCAGCAGUAGGGAAUAUUGGGCAAUGGACGCAAGUCUGACCCAGCCAUGCCGCGUGCAGGAUGAAGGCGUUAUGCGUUGUAAACUGCUUUUAUACAGGAAGAAACGACUCUUGCGAGAGGCAUUGACGGUACUGUAUGAAUAAGCACCGGCUAACUCCGUGCCAGCAGCCGCCAGUAA
Molecule: ribosomal RNA, 486 nt
Filed under: uncultured bacterium
Lineage: Bacteria
Description: partial 16S ribosomal RNA
Rfam family: Bacterial small subunit ribosomal RNA
Source: RNAcentral